Molecule: ribosomal RNA, 772 nt
Filed under: uncultured Neocallimastigales
Lineage: Eukaryota; Fungi; Neocallimastigomycota; Neocallimastigomycetes; Neocallimastigales
Description: partial large subunit ribosomal RNA
Rfam family: Eukaryotic large subunit ribosomal RNA
Source: RNAcentral
ACUAGAGUAGCACUCGCAUAUCAAUAAGCGGAGGAAAAGAAACUAACAAGGAUUCCCUUAGUAACGGCGAGUGAAGCGGGAAGAGCUCAAAUUUGAAAUCUUCAAGGUUUUACCUUGACGAAUUGUAGUUUAAAGAAGUGUUUUCUGUUGAAGUUUUGGUAAAAGUUCUUUGGAAUAGGACAUCAUAGAGGGUGAGAAUCCCGUAUUUGACCAUUAUUUUCAGCUGUGUGAUACACUUUCAAAGAGUCGGAUUGUUUGGGAAUGCAGUCCAAAAUGGGUGGUAAAUUUCAUCUAAAGCUAAAUAUUGGCGAGAGACCGAUAGCGAACAAGUACCGUGAGGGAAAGAUGAAAAGAACUUUGAAAAGAGAGUUAAACAGUACGUGAAAUUGUCAAAAGGGAAGCGUUUGACACCAGUGUUGUUUUCUCGAAAAUCAAUUAAAAAAGGCCGGAUUUUGUGUUGUAUUGACCUUAAAAGCUUUCUUCACUCUUUUCUUGUCUUUUUUAAUGCACUUUUCGUUUAACAAGUCAACAUCAGUUUCUUUUGUUGUAAAAGGGUCAUUGGAAGGUGGCUUUCUUUUCGGAGAAAGUGUUUAUAGCCUUUGAUCUCUGCAACCGGAGAGACUGAGGUCUGCAGCGUAGACUCUUCGGGGUUAAAUACAUUUGUGCUAAGCUAUAGCCUUUUAUAGACAACUUGUUGACUAUAUCAGUCCUGUAGCUUACUCGCUUAUGCUAUUUUACCUACGCUUAGGAUGUUGAUAGUCACAGCGUGUAC